Molecule: long non-coding RNA, 2573 nt
Organism: Dasypus novemcinctus (nine-banded armadillo)
Lineage: Eukaryota; Metazoa; Chordata; Mammalia; Cingulata; Dasypodidae
Source: Ensembl
AUGGGGAAGAAGAUGGGGUGGGGGCUGCCUCUACCCCUCCCACCAACUCCCCAGUCCUGGAAGCUGCAGCCUCCCCCGGGAGCCAGGCCGGGGGAGAGGCAGACGCUGGUGCGGCAGGCAGGACCCCAAGGAAUUCAUUUGCCUGACCUGUGUCCUUCUCAUGGGCUGGACAAGGAGCCUCCCACUGCAUCAGUACCAAGAACAGGACAAGCUGCAGCCAUUUCAGAGAGGUUGAUUGCUGCUCUGAACCACCCCAGAUCACAAGAAAAAUCAGCUAAGCAAGACCGCUAUAACUCCACCCCAAGACUUCUUCUUCUUACCCCAUCUCCAGCUGCAGCCCUGAGGGUCUUCAGCCCAGGGGGUACAUGAACGGAGAGAUGCUGGCUAGUGUUGCUCAAUAAUUGGGGAGAGGGGGUCUUUUUCUUUAUUCCUGCCUAGCUGACACCUCUCCCUUAGAAACUCAUGCUCAGUAUUUUAAAAUUCUUUAUGGAUUGUGCUGUUGCUUUGAAUAGGUUGCUAUUAAGUUGCAGUAAGAUGACAGCAGGAGAAAAGUAAAGUUAUAUCUUUAGCCUUACUCUCUUUUGCAGUGUAGUCUUUGCAUCAUGAAAGCAUUCACCUCCAAAUUAUUUCCAUUUGAAAUUGUUCUUUCAAAAAAGACUUUCUGGCCACAUCUGAGCAACAAGGAGGCUCCCAGGAGGCAACUCUUAGGCACCUGUAAUACUAGGCUAAGUUUCAGUUUCAGGAGUAAAGGUUCAUAUGCAGUCAUCAAUUUCAAGGGCCCAUCAGUGGACCAUCCUCCUUCACUAGUCAUUGUCUCUGUACUUGGGGGAUUGUUGCUGAUCUAUUAGAGAAUGUGGCAGAGCUCCCUAGAAUGGGAAUGUGAUAUUCCUUUGGUUAUUGUGUGAAUCUCCACCCACCGUGACAAUGCCCCAUGAACAUUUAAACAUAAUUAUAUGCCUUAUAUAUAUGCCCAGGUGAGCUUCCUCCCAUGUAUCCCCUGUCACUGACACCCCACACCAGUGAUUCUCCUCUGCCAUAGUUGUAACCCUACUGUAAUCCAAAACUUCUUAAAAAAUGAAGCCAAUAAAAUAAAUAUGAUUAAUAAGAAAAUAAAUAAUGAUAGUUUUAAAAAUAAGAAAUAAAAUAAAAUUUUUUAAAAUCUGGUAUAAUGAAAAUAAUGAAAAAAUAUUUUUUAAAAAUUUUUGACAUUUUCCCUUUCAUCACUAUAAGAUCUGUUGACCUAUACAUACAGUGGCAUUGUCUUCCAUUUAUUCCCCCAGUGUCUUACUUUUUUUUUUUUUUUUCAUUUUGGCCUCUCUCUAAGCCAAAUUCAACAUAUAAAUACUUCCUCCCCAGUGUGAGACAUGACUCCCAGCGCUGAGCCUCCCUGGCACUGAGAUAUCUACCAAGGACCAACUUGCAAUGCAACUGAAAAAAGACCUUGAUCAAAAGAGGGAAAAGGCAAAGACAAAUGAGUUUGUAUGGCUAAGAGAUGUUAAAGUGAGCCAGGAUGUCAUUCCAGAGAUUAUGCUUAUGCACAUCUCAGCAGGAUCUCUUUGACUGCCAAAGUAGAUACUACUGCAAAUAGGGGGGCUCCUAAGGGCUCUGGAGACAUCCAGACACUAUAGUCAGGGCAGAUAGCUGAGGAGUUUGGUGCCUUGCCAGAGUAUUUAUGCUCCCAAGAGUGACAGAGUUGGACUCAGUUGCGGUUUCUCUACUCACAGCUCUUCUGUCCUAUUUUUACCUAUUAUUAGUACUAGAGGUGGUAGGUAUAUAUCCAAAGAACUUAAGUCUUUGGGCUUUCCAUGUGCCAGCUGGGCCCUGAAUCUCCUCAGAGUUGUUACAGCUACUCUCCAGUUCAUUGGUCUCAUCCAGGACAACUAACAUAGAGGUGAUGAUGGACAACUAGCAUACCAAGGAACCAAGAGAGUCUACAACUGCAGGCAAGAGAGUCCCAUCCAGCGGCCCUAUGGGAUCACAGCCCCCUCUCAAUUAAAGGUGGAGUGGACAUCACCAUCCCAGAAUCCUCAGUAUUGGGGAAUGAACUAUAGACUAAAGUAGACUUACUGGUAUUCUAACUAUAGACUUAUUGUGAUUCUAGCAAUAGCAGAAAUUUUAUCAAUGAUGUGGAGGCAGUGGCCACUGGAGUUUCUGAGGGCAGGGAGAGGGAAAAACAUGUAAUACGGGGGCAUUUUGGGGACUUGGGAAUUGUCCUGAAUGGCAUUGCAAUGACAGAUACAGGCCAUUAUAAAUCUUGCCAUAACCUACAGAAUUGUGUGGGAGAGAGAGUAAACAACAAUGUAAACUUUAGUCCACACUUAGUGGCAAUACUCAAAAACAUGUUCAUCAAUUGCAGUGAAUGUACCUAACUAAUGAAAGAUUUGUUAAUUUGGGGAAAUGUGGAAGGUAUUGGGAGCAGGGCCUAAGGGAAUCCCCUGUAUUUUUUAUGCAAUAUUUGUAUAAUCUAAGUAUCUUUGAAAACUUUUUAAAAAUAAAAUUGGAAAAAAAAAAAGACUUUCCGUUUUCCCUCCAAUUUCAAUGAUCUCUAUAGGUAUCAGUGAUGGUUCUCCUCU